RNAcentral lists this unclassified non-coding RNA (374 nucleotides) under fungal sp. Its description in RNAcentral is "partial internal transcribed spacer region". The stretch from base 1 to 46 matches the Rfam family "Eukaryotic small subunit ribosomal RNA", at positions 1786 to 1831 of the family's 1831-position model. The record is from RNAcentral. Lineage: Eukaryota; Fungi. RNAcentral also lists the same sequence under 1 other name.
AAGUCGUAACAAGGUCUCCGUAGGUGAACCUGCGGAGGGAUCAUUAACACGUUUUAAAACACGUUUUAACUACCCACCAACCACGUGAACUAUUUAAACUCCUGGAAGAAAAGAAUUCUGUCUCUACAUACUAAUGAUGAGCUCUCGCUUGCGGGAGCGGUGUGUCUUGACUAGCAUUGCUGUUAGUGUUGCGCAAGCAUAUUAACUGACAUGUACAGACCUUUUCUUUUGGGCUAAAUGCUUCUCUCAUCACUGGAGCGAAAACACCCCUUUCACCAUUUCUAUAACCAUUGACUGAUCUUUUUCUUUGCAAUAUAAGAAAAAACUAAUCAAAUAUCUAAGCACAACUCUUAGCAACGGAUAUCUUGGUUCUC